GAUGAACGCUGGCGGCGUGCCUAAUACAUGCAAGUCGAGCGAACGGACGAGAAGCUUGCUUCUCUGAUGUUAGCGGCGGACGGGUGAGUAACACGUGGAUAACCUACCUAUAAGACUGGGAUAACUUCGGGAAACCGGAGCUAAUACCGGAUAAUAUUUUGAACCGCAUGGUUCAAAAGUGAAAGACGGUCUUGCUGUCACUUAUAGAUGGAUCCGCGCUGCAUUAGCUAGUUGGUAAGGUAACGGCUUACCAAGGCAACGAUGCAUAGCCGACCUGAGAGGGUGAUCGACCACACUGGAACUGAGACACGGUCCAGACUCCUACGGGAGGCAGCAGUAGGGAAUCUUCCGCAAUGGGCGAGAGCCUGACGGAGCAACGCCGCGUGAGUGAUGAAGGUCUUCGGAUCGUAAAACUCUGUUAUUAGGGAAGAACAUAUGUGUAAGUAACUGUGCACAUCUUGACGGUACCUAAUCAGAAAGCCACGGCUAACUACGUG
This 497-nucleotide ribosomal RNA is filed under the name uncultured bacterium. RNAcentral describes it as "partial 16S ribosomal RNA". It matches the Rfam family "Bacterial small subunit ribosomal RNA", at positions 28 to 507 of the family's 1533-position model. The record is from RNAcentral.